Molecule: ribosomal RNA, 462 nt
Filed under: uncultured bacterium
Lineage: Bacteria
Description: partial 16S ribosomal RNA
Rfam family: Bacterial small subunit ribosomal RNA
Source: RNAcentral
CCUACGGGUGGCAGCAGUGAGGAAUAUUGGUCAAUGGACGCAAGUCUGAACCAGCCAAGUAGCGUGCAGGAUGACGGCCCUCCGGGUUGUAAACUGCUUUUAGUUGGGAAUAAAAGGGGGCUCGUGAGCCCCGUAUUGUAUGUACCAUCAGAAAAAGGACCGGCUAAUUCCGUGCCAGCAGCCGCGGUAAUACGGAAGGUCCGGGCGUUAUCCGGAUUUAUUGGGUUUAAAGGGAGCGUAGGCCGGCUUUUAAGUCAGCUGUGAAAGUCCGCGGCUCAACCGUAAAAUUGCAAUUGAUACUGGCAUUCUUGAGUACAGGUGAGGUAGGCGGAAUUCGUGGUGUAGCGGUGAAAUGCUUAGAUAUCACGAAGAACCCCGAUUGCGAAGGCAGCUUACUAAACUGUGACUGACAUUGAUGCUCGAAAGUGUGGGUAUCAAACAGGAUUAGAUACCCUUGUAGUC